This 450-nucleotide ribosomal RNA is filed under the name uncultured bacterium. RNAcentral describes it as "bacterial SSU rRNA". It matches the Rfam family "Bacterial small subunit ribosomal RNA", at positions 354 to 796 of the family's 1533-position model. The record is from RNAcentral.
GUGGGGAAUAUUGGACAAUGGGCGAAAGCCUGAUCCAGCCAUGCCGCGUGUGUGAAGAAGGUCUUCGGAUUGUAAAGCACUUUAAGUUGGGAGGAAGGGCAGUAAGUUAAUACCUUGCUGUUUUGACGUUACCGACAGAAUAAGCACCGGCUAACUUCGUGCCAGCAGCCGCGGUAAUACGAAGGGUGCAAGCGUUAAUCGGCAUUACUGGGCGUAAAGCGCGCGUAGGUGGUUUUGUAAGUUGGAGGUGAAAUCCCCGGGCUCAACCUGGGAACUGCCUACAAAACUGCAUGACUAGAGUACGGUAGAGGGUAGUGGAAUUUCCUGUGUAGCGGUGAAAUGCGUAGAUAUAGGAAGGAACACCAGUGGCGAAGGCGACUACCUGGACUGAUACUGACACUGAGGUGCGAAAGCGUGGGGAGCAAACAGGAUUAGAUACCCGAGUAGUCC